GUGUGCAGAGGGUCCCUCUCACUUGCUCUCCCUGGUUCGAGCCCGGGUACGGACGGAGGCUAUACUGUUACACACACACAUGGUGCCUCCCCCCUCCUUCCACCUCCAUCAUGAAUAUGUAACACCCAUUCACACACCUUUCUGUUACCAAAGUGACAUUAACACUCACAGGCAAACAGGAGCCAAACAUCCCAAUCUACAUGUGAGACUGUGGACAUAACCACAGUUCACUGACUACCAUCGAUGGAGUGGGAGGAGGGCAGAAGAGGCCCAGCUGUAUUUCCCUGUGGCUGCUAGGUCUACUGGGAGCUGGGCUCUGAGGCAAGACGACCAGAAACUCAGGGCUCCUCUCCCUUCCUCCUUCUCCAUCCCUCCCUCCUCCCCUAUCCCUCUCUAUCAUCCUCUCCCUCUCUAUCCUCCCCAACACUCUGUCACCCUGACAGUUCACUCUGCACAACAGAUUCAUAUUCAUGAACUAUUUUGAUUAAAUGUGCAUCUAUAACCA
Oncorhynchus kisutch (coho salmon) is the source of this 505-nucleotide long non-coding RNA. RefSeq lists it as uncharacterized. The record is from RefSeq and is a predicted model, not a curated record. The transcript is spliced from 2 exons. Lineage: Eukaryota; Metazoa; Chordata; Actinopteri; Salmoniformes; Salmonidae.